This 942-nucleotide ribosomal RNA is filed under the name Abortiporus sp. RNAcentral's name for it is "partial large subunit ribosomal RNA". It matches the Rfam family "Eukaryotic large subunit ribosomal RNA", at positions 34 to 964 of the family's 3401-position model. Lineage: Eukaryota; Fungi; Basidiomycota; Agaricomycetes; Polyporales; Podoscyphaceae. The record is from RNAcentral.
CUACAUAUCAAUAAGCGGAGGAAAAGAAACUAACAAGGAUUCCCAUAGUAACUGCGAGUGAAGCGGGAAAAGCUCAAAUUUAAAAUCUGGCAGUCUUUGGCUGUCCGAGUUGUAGUCUGGAGAAGUGCUUUCCGCGCUGGACCGUGUACAAGUCUCUUGGAAUAGAGCGUCAUAGAGGGUGAGAAUCCCGUCUUUGACACGGACUACCAGUGCUUUGUGAUGCGCUCUCAAAGAGUCGAGUUGUUUGGGAAUGCAGCUCAAAAUGGGUGGUAAAUUCCAUCUAAAGCUAAAUAUUGGCGAGAGACCGAUAGCGAACAAGUACCGUGAGGGAAAGAUGAAAAGCACUUUGGAAAGAGAGUUAAACAGUACGUGAAAUUGCUGAAAGGGAAACGCUUGAAGUCAGUCACGUUGGUCAGAACUCAGCCUGGCUUUUGCUUGGUGCAUUUUCUGAUUAACGGGCCAGCAUCAAUUUUGACCAUUGGAAAAAUUCUUUGGGAAUGUGGCUCCUCCGGGAGUGUUAUAGCCCAAGGUUGUAUACAGUGGUUGGGAUUGAGGAACUCAGCACGCCUUUAUGGUCGGGGUUCGCCCACGCUCGUGCUUAGGAUGCUGGCGUAAUGGCUUUAAACGACCCGUCUUGAAACACGGACCAAGGAGUCUAACAUGCCUGCGAGUGUUUGGGUGGAAAACCCGAGCGCGUAAUGAAAGUGAAAGUUGGGAUCUCUGUCGUGGAGAGCACCGACGCCCAUACCAGACCUUCUGUGACGGAUAUGCGGUUGAGCAUGUAUGUUGGGACCCGAAAGAUGGUGAACUAUGCCUGAAUAGGGUGAAGCCAGAGGAAACUCUGGUGGAGGCUCGUAGCGAUUCUGACGUGCAAAUCGAUCGUCAAAUUUGGGUAUAGGGGCGAAAGACUAAUCGAACCAUCUAGUAGCUGGUCCUGCGCCU